UCACAAUUCACAACACAUUAAAGACUUGAUGUCCAUGUGCAUAAUGCAAGAGAGAUUUGUGUAGCAUGCAUAGCAAUUACCAACCUAAGAAUAAGUAUUCAAAUCAAAGCUACAAAGAAAUCUCAAAACUUACAAGCACUAAGAAGCAUACAUACACGACUCUUGCAUUGUACAAGGACAUAGACACAUCAACAAAAUGAAAUCAGUGAUACUCGUUUACAGACUUUGUGGCAGUUCUACUUGAGAGCUAAGAUCACAACCACACCUCCAAAUUGAAGAACUAUGAGCGAAGAAUCUCCACUUAAACAAGAAAAGAUAGAUGAAAAUGUGAGAAGGGAAAUUAUAAAUCACAGAUCACUGAGGCAUCCAAAUAUUGUUAGAUUCAAAAAGGUCAUAUUAACCCCUACACAUUUGUCUAUUGUGAUGGAAUAUGCUGCUGGUGGAGAGCUAUUUGAGUGAAUAUGCAAUGCAGGACGGUUCAAUGAGGAUGAAGCGCGCUUCUUCUUCCAACAACUUAUCUCAGGGGUUAGCUAUUGUCAUGCAAUGCAAGUAUGCCAUCGUGACUUGAAGUUAGAGAACACAUUACUAGAUGGCAGUCCAGCUCGUUGAUUAAAGAUAUGUGAUUUUGGGUAUUCUAAGUGCUACAUUCACAACCAAAAUCUAAAGUUGGUACCCCUGCAUACAUUGCUCCGGAAGUUCUACUCAGGAAGGAAUAUGAUGGCAAGAUUGCGGAUGUGUGGUCUUGUGGUUUGACCUUAUAUGUCAUGUUGGUGGGCUCAUACCCUUUUCAGGAUCCAGAUGAACCAAAAAUUUCCAGAAGACAACUCAU
Molecule: long non-coding RNA, 829 nt
Organism: Arachis duranensis
Lineage: Eukaryota; Viridiplantae; Streptophyta; Magnoliopsida; Fabales; Fabaceae
Exons: 8
Source: RefSeq, a predicted model, not a curated record